Molecule: ribosomal RNA, 245 nt
Filed under: uncultured Bellilinea sp.
Lineage: Bacteria; Bacillati; Chloroflexota; Anaerolineae; Anaerolineales; Anaerolineaceae
Description: partial 16S ribosomal RNA
Rfam family: Bacterial small subunit ribosomal RNA
Source: RNAcentral
CACGUAGGAGACUAGCGUUAUCCGGAUUGGGGGGGCGUAAAGCGCGUGCAGGCGGUUCAGCAAGUUGGAUGUGAAAGCUCCCGGCUUAACUGGGAGAGGUCGUUCAAUACUACUGGACUAGAGAGUGGUAGAGGGAGGUGGAAUUCCGGGUGUAGUGGUGAAAUGCGUAGAUAUCCGGAGGAACACCAGUGGCGAAAGCGGCCUCCUGGACCAUUUCUGACGCUCAGACGCGAAAGCUAGGGUAG